UACGUAGGGUGCAAGCGUUGUCCGGAAUUAUUGGGCGUAAAGAGCUCGUAGGCGGUCUGUCGCGUCUGCUGUGAAAACUCAGGGCUUAACCCUGAGCUUGCAGUGGGUACGGGCAGACUAGAGUGCGGUAGGGGAGACUGGAAUUCCUGGUGUAGCGGUGAAAUGCGCAGAUAUCAGGAGGAACACCGGUGGCGAAGGCGGGUCUCUGGGCCGGUACUGACGCUGAGGUGCGAAAGCGUGGGGAGCAAACAGG
Molecule: ribosomal RNA, 253 nt
Filed under: uncultured bacterium
Lineage: Bacteria
Description: partial 16S ribosomal RNA
Rfam family: Bacterial small subunit ribosomal RNA
Source: RNAcentral